GUGAGGAAUAUUGCGCAAUGGAGGCAACUCUGACGCAGCCAUGCCGCGUGCAGGAAGAAGGCGCUACGCGUUGUAAACUGCUUUUGUACGGGAAGAAACACUCCCUCGUGAGGGAGCUUGACGGUACCGUAAGAAUAAGGAUCGGCUAACUCCGUGCCAGCAGCCGCGGUAAUACGGAGGAUCCAAGCGUUAUCCGGAAUCAUUGGGUUUAAAGGGUCCGUAGGCGGUUUAAUAAGUCAGUGGUGAAAGCCCAUCGCUCAACGAUGGAACGGCCAUUGAUACUGUUAGACUUGAAUUACAAGGAAGUAACUAGAAUAUGUAGUGUAGCGGUGAAAUGCUUAGAUAUUACAUGGAAUACCAAUUGCGAAGGCAGGUUACUACUUGUGGAUUGACGCUGAUGGACGAAAGCGUGGGGAGCGAACAGGAUUAGAAACCCUUGUAGUCC
RNAcentral lists this ribosomal RNA (445 nucleotides) under uncultured bacterium. RNAcentral's name for it is "partial 16S ribosomal RNA". It matches the Rfam family "Bacterial small subunit ribosomal RNA", at positions 354 to 796 of the family's 1533-position model. The record is from RNAcentral.